UACGUAGGGGGCAAGCGUUGUCCGGAAUCAUUGGGCGUAAAGAGCGUGUAGGCGGCCAGAAAAGUCCGCUGUGAAAACUCGAGGCUCAACUUCGAGCUGUCGGUGGAAACUUUCUGGCUAGAGUCCGGAAGAGGAGAAUGGAAUUCCUGGUGUAGCGGUGAAAUGCGUAGAGAUCGGGAAGAACAUCGGUGGCGAAGGCGCUCUACUGGACCACAACUGACACUCAGGGACGAAAGCUAGGGGAGCGAAUGGG
This 253-nucleotide ribosomal RNA is filed under the name uncultured bacterium. Its description in RNAcentral is "partial 16S ribosomal RNA". It matches the Rfam family "Bacterial small subunit ribosomal RNA", at positions 524 to 776 of the family's 1533-position model. The record is from RNAcentral.